GAUGAACGCUAGCGACAGGCUUAACACAUGCAAGUCGAGGGGCAGUACAGGUAGCAAUACCGGGUGGCGACCGGCGCACGGGUGAGUAACGCGUAUGCAACUUACCUAUCAGAGGGGGAUAACCCGGCGAAAGUCGGACUAAUACCGCAUGAAGCAGGGGUCCCGCAUGGGGAUAUUUGCUAAAGAUUCAUCGCUGAUAGAUAGGCAUGCGUUCCAUUAGGCAGUUGGCGGGGUAACGGCCCACCAAACCGACGAUGGAUAGGGGUUCUGAGAGGAAGGUCCCCCACAUUGGUACUGAGACACGGACCAAACUCCUACGGGAGGCAGCAGUGAGGAAUAUUGGUCAAUGGGCGUAAGCCUGAACCAGCCAAGUCGCGUGAGGGAUGAAGGUUCUAUGGAUCGUAAACCUCUUUUAUAAGGGAAUAAAGUGCGGGACGUGUCCCGUUUUGUAUGUACCUUAUGAAUAAGGAUCGGCUAACUCCGUGCCAGCAGCCGCGGUAAUACGGAGGAUUCGAGCGUUAUCCGGAUUUAUUGGGUUUAAAGGGUGCGUAGGCGGCCUUUUAAGUCAGCGGUGAAAGUCUGUGGCUCAACCAUAGAAUUGCCGUUGAAACUGGGGGGCUUGAGUAUGUUUGAGGCAGGCGGAAUGCGUGGUGUAGCGGUGAAAUGCUUAGAUAUCACGCAGAACCCCGAUUGCGAAGGCAGCCUGCCAAGCCAUGACUGACGCUGAUGCACGAAAGCGUGGGGAUCAAACAGGAUUAGAUACCCUGGUAGUCCACGCAGUAAACGAUGAUCACUAGCUGUUUGCGAUACAGUGUAAGCGGCACAGCGAAAGCGUUAAGUGAUCCACCUGGGGAGUACGCCGGCAACGGUGAAACUCAAAGGAAUUGACGGGGGCCCGCACAAGCGGAGGAACAUGUGGUUUAAUUCGAUGAUACGCGAGGAACCUUACCCGGGUUUGAACGCAUUCGGACCGAGGUGGAAACACCUUUUCUAGCAAUAGCCGUUUGCGAGGUGCUGCAUGGUUGUCGUCAGCUCGUGCCGUGAGGUGUCGGCUUAAGUGCCAUAACGAGCGCAACCCUUGCCACUAGUUACUAACAGGUAAAGCUGAGGACUCUGGUGGGACUGCCAGCGUAAGCUGCGAGGAAGGCGGGGAUGACGUCAAAUCAGCACGGCCCUUACAUCCGGGGCGACACACGUGUUACAAUGGCGUGGACAAAGGGAAGCCACCUGGCGACAGGGAGCGAAUCCCCAAACCACGUCUCAGUUCGGAUCGGAGUCUGCAACCCGACUCCGUGAAGCUGGAUUCGCUAGUAAUCGCGCAUCAGCCAUGGCGCGGUGAAUACGUUCCCGGGCCUUGUACACACCGCCCGUCAAGCCA
This 1378-nucleotide ribosomal RNA is filed under the name uncultured bacterium. Its description in RNAcentral is "bacterial SSU rRNA". It matches the Rfam family "Bacterial small subunit ribosomal RNA", at positions 28 to 1404 of the family's 1533-position model. The record is from RNAcentral.